RNAcentral lists this ribosomal RNA (874 nucleotides) under uncultured eukaryote. RNAcentral's name for it is "SSU rRNA". It matches the Rfam family "Eukaryotic small subunit ribosomal RNA", at positions 566 to 1463 of the family's 1831-position model. The record is from RNAcentral.
CCAAGCAGCCGCGGUAAUUCCAGCUCCAAUAGCGUAUAUUAAAGUUGUUGUGGUUAAAAAGCUCGUAGUUGGAUCUCAACAGCCUUGAAGCGGUUAACUUUGUAGUUUUACUGCUUUAUAGGCUGUGCUUUUGCUGGAGGUUUAGGGGUGCUCUUGAUCGAGUGUCUCUGGAUGCCAGCAGGUUUACUUUGAAAAAAUUAGAGUGCUCAAAGCAGGCUAAAAUGCCUGAAUAUUCGUGCAUGGAAUAAUAGAAUAGGAUGUCGAUCCUAUUUUGUUGGUUUUCGGGACUCGACAUAAUGAUAAAUAGGGACAGUCGGGGGCAUUUGUAUUCAAACGACAGAGGUGAAAUUCUUGGACCGUUUGAAGACAAACUACUGCGAAAGCAUUUGCCAAGAAUGUUUUCAUUAAUCAAGAACGAAAGUUAGAGGUUCGAAGGCGAUUAGAUACCGCCCUAGUUCUAACCAUAAACGAUGCCAGCUAGCGAUCUGCCUGCGUUUUUACUGUAGACUGGGCAGGAAGCUUCCGGGAAACCAAAGCAUUUGGGUUCCAGGGGAAGUAUGGUUGCAAAGCUGAAACUUAAAGGAAUUGACGGAAGGGCACCACCAGGAGUGGAGCCUGUGGCUUAAUUUGACUCAACACGGGAAAUCUCACCAGGCCCGGACACUGGAAGGAUUGACAGAUUGAUAGCUCUUUCUUGAUUCGGUGGGUGGUGGUGCAUGGCCGUUCUUAGUUGGUGGAGUGAUUUGUCUGGUUAAUUCCGAUAACGAACGAGACUCUGUCCUGCUAAAUAGUUUCUACUUCUCUUUUGAGUAGAAAUUUCUUCUUAGAGGGACUGGUGACUCUUAGUCACACGAGAUUGAGCAAUAACAGGUCU